RNAcentral lists this transfer RNA (68 nucleotides) under Strophurus intermedius (Southern spiny-tailed gecko). RNAcentral's name for it is "tRNA-Trp". Lineage: Eukaryota; Metazoa; Chordata; Lepidosauria; Squamata; Diplodactylidae. The record is from RNAcentral.
AGAAACUUAGGUUAAACUAAACCAGGGGCCUUCAAAGCCCUAAACAGGAGACAUACUCCUAGCUUCUG